Long non-coding RNA from Oreochromis aureus, 434 nucleotides. Lineage: Eukaryota; Metazoa; Chordata; Actinopteri; Cichliformes; Cichlidae. The record is from Ensembl.
GGAGCAAGUGGGGAGCCGUGUGCACUCUGCAGGAAGCGAGAGAGACGAGAGCUGAACAGUGUCGAGUGAACGCAGAGUUCAUAGAGGGCCGACGGACGUAUUUUCGGGUUGACGGAUAGUUAACUGGAGUGAAAAGCUGUUGUACCCUACUGUGAGUAGGAGGAGACGGACGUCUUGCUGGCGUGUCGGAGAAGUCCCUUCUGCUGGUGUGCUGAACUUAUGUGUUCACGUGGGAGCACGUGGCGAGGACGACUGUGAGUGCUGCUGCCGUGGCCUGCUGGUAGCCUUGACCCAGUUUCCCCUGCUAUCCCCUUGAACUGCCUGGAGGUCCCAACGCACCCGAGCCACGACUCAGGCCUGCAACGAGGGGUUGGCUAGCAGAAAGACUGUAGCACUUGAGGUCUGUGUGUGUCGGUGAGAGUGUGUGUGGGCCC